AGAUUGAACGCUGGCGGCAUGGCUAAAACAUGCAAGUCGAACGCGAAAGGGAGCAAUCCCAAGUAGAGUGGCGAAAGGGCGAGGAAUAAAUUCCUACGUACCCCAAGGUCGGGGAUACCUCGGAGAAAUCCGAAUCAAUACCCGAUGUGGUCGGAAACGAUCAAAGGCUUGCUGCCUUGGGAGCGGGGAAUUUCCUAUCAGGUAGUUGGUAGGGUAACGGCCUACCAAGCCUAAGACGGGUAGCGGGUGUGAGAGCACGGCCCGCCGCAUCGAGACUGAGACACUGCUCGGACUCCUACGGGAGGCUGCAGUAACGAAUCUUCCGCAAUGCGCGAAAGCGUGACGGGGCAAUGCCGCGUGUGGGAUGAAGCCCUUCGGGGUGUAAACCACUGUCAGGGUGCAGGAACUCAAUGACCAUACCCAAAGGAAGCACCGGCUAACUCUGUGCCAGCAGCCGC
This 458-nucleotide ribosomal RNA is filed under the name uncultured bacterium. RNAcentral's name for it is "SSU rRNA". It matches the Rfam family "Bacterial small subunit ribosomal RNA", at positions 26 to 518 of the family's 1533-position model. The record is from RNAcentral.